This 1447-nucleotide ribosomal RNA is filed under the name Salmonella enterica. RNAcentral describes it as "partial 23S ribosomal RNA". It matches the Rfam family "Bacterial large subunit ribosomal RNA", at positions 1372 to 2802 of the family's 2925-position model. Lineage: Bacteria; Pseudomonadati; Pseudomonadota; Gammaproteobacteria; Enterobacterales; Enterobacteriaceae. RNAcentral also lists the same sequence under 1 other name. The record is from RNAcentral.
GGGCAGGGUGAGUCGACCCCUAAGGCGAGGCCGAAAGGCGUAGUCGAUGGGAAACGGGUUAAUAUUCCCGUACUUGGUGUUACUGCGAAGGGGGGACGGAGAAGGCUAUGUUGGCCGGGCGACGGUUGUCCCGGUUUAAGCGUGUAGGUGUGUGUUCCAGGUAAAUCCGGUUCACUUUAACACUGAGGCGUGACGACGAGGCACUACGGUGCUGAAGCAACAAAUGCCCUGCUUCCAGGAAAAGCCUCUAAGCAUCAGGUAACAUCAAAUCGUACCCCAAACCGACACAGGUGGUCAGGUAGAGAAUACCAAGGCGCUUGAGAGAACUCGGGUGAAGGAACUAGGCAAAAUGGUGCCGUAACUUCGGGAGAAGGCACGCUGACACGUAGGUGAAGUGAUUUACUCAUGGAGCUGAAGUCAGUCGAAGAUACCAGCUGGCUGCAACUGUUUAUUAAAAACACAGCACUGUGCAAACACGAAAGUGGACGUAUACGGUGUGACGCCUGCCCGGUGCCGGAAGGUUAAUUGAUGGGGUCAGCGCAAGCGAAGCUCCUGAUCGAAGCCCCGGUAAACGGCGGCCGUAACUAUAACGGUCCUAAGGUAGCGAAAUUCCUUGUCGGGUAAGUUCCGACCUGCACGAAUGGCGUAAUGAUGGCCAGGCUGUCUCCACCCGAGACUCAGUGAAAUUGAACUCGCUGUGAAGAUGCAGUGUACCCGCGGCAAGACGGAAAGACCCCGUGAACCUUUACUAUAGCUUGACACUGAACAUUGAGCCUUGAUGUGUAGGAUAGGUGGGAGGCUUUGAAGUGUGGACGCCAGUCUGCAUGGAGCCGACCUUGAAAUACCACCCUUUAAUGUUUGAUGUUCUAACGUGGACCCGUUACCCGGGUUGCGGACAGUGUCUGGUGGGUAGUUUGACUGGGGCGGUCUCCUCCUAAAGAGUAACGGAGGAGCACGAAGGUUGGCUAAUCCUGGUCGGACAUCAGGAGGUUAGUGCAAUGGCAUAAGCCAGCUUGACUGCGAGCGUGACGGCGCGAGCAGGUGCGAAAGCAGGUCAUAGUGAUCCGGUGGUUCUGAAUGGAAGGGCCAUCGCUCAACGGAUAAAAGGUACUCCGGGGAUAACAGGCUGAUACCGCCCAAGAGUUCAUAUCGACGGCGGUGUUUGGCACCUCGAUGUCGGCUCAUCACAUCCUGGGGCUGAAGUAGGUCCCAAGGGUAUGGCUGUUCGCCAUUUAAAGUGGUACGCGAGCUGGGUUUAGAACGUCGUGAGACAGUUCGGUCCCUAUCUGCCGUGGGCGCUGGAGAACUGAGGGGGGCUGCUCCUAGUACGAGAGGACCGGAGUGGACGCAUCACUGGUGUUCGGGUUGUCAUGCCAAUGGCACUGCCCGGUAGCUAAAUGCGGAAGAGAUAAGUGCUGAAAGCAUCUAAGCACGAAACUUGCCCCGA